RNAcentral lists this transfer RNA (70 nucleotides) under Bavayia ultramaficola. RNAcentral describes it as "tRNA-Trp". It matches the Rfam family "tRNA". Rfam says of the family: Transfer RNA (tRNA) molecules are approximately 80 nucleotides in length. Their secondary structure includes four short double-helical elements and three loops (D, anti-codon, and T loops). The record is from RNAcentral. Lineage: Eukaryota; Metazoa; Chordata; Lepidosauria; Squamata; Diplodactylidae.
AGAAACUUAGGUUAACACUAAACCAAGAGCCUUCAAAGCCCUAAACAGGGGGCACCACCCCUAGUUCCUG